This 4921-nucleotide long non-coding RNA is filed under the name Triticum aestivum (bread wheat). RNAcentral's name for it is "long non-coding RNA (TAES_LNC017174)". Lineage: Eukaryota; Viridiplantae; Streptophyta; Magnoliopsida; Poales; Poaceae. The record is from RNAcentral.
CACGAAAGACCCAGCGUGUGGUGUGCAUGUGGAAUUCUUCUUCACACUCAAACACAGGUUAUGGUAAGCCACUGCUUCCGUCCGCUGCUCCAUGGUUCAUGUAGGGGUUUCAGUUUUCAAUUUCUUUUAGUGGAUUUAGCCCUCACAUGCUAAAUUAACUCUGACUUUGUCUACCACUAAUUCCUACUAGGGUUCUUGUAUGUGCAAGACUUCUGUGAAAAUAUAAAUAUGUGAUGUCCACCCCUUACUGUCUCUAUUCUAUUUUAUGGUUUGGAAAACGCAAAUCAUGUGUUGGUCUGUUUUACAAACAUGGAAUAGCCAGUAUAAUUGAUCUUGCCCCCCUUAUGUGUUGCUCCCUAUCAUUAUUCUGUUACCUUGUUAACUGGCCGUUAAUCUCAUUCUUUGUUCACCCCCAUGGACCUGACUUGAUGGUGAGGAUGGCAUAGAUAUCCAUGCUGGAGGAGUAGGAGGGCAACGGGCAAGUAAUAAUAGGAACCACCAUGAGCCUCACUAUGCGCUAUCCUGGUGAAACUGUUGGGUGCAACGGUGAUGGGCAAGACGAGCAUGUAGAAAGAGACCACAACAGCAGCAGGAUAAGACAUAGUUGUUGAAGACUUGAAAUACACAUGAAUGUACAUGUUUCGAUCUGAUCUCCCCUUAAUCUGGAUUGCCUUCUCUUCACAUGUAUGGUUGGUAUGUUUAGUGAAGCUUCUCAAUAGGUACAUGUCUUAUUAAUAAGUGAUUUUAAAAUAUAAAUAGAAGAUAGAAAGAGAGGGGAGGUUGGACAGCAAGAGAUAGUUAUUGUAAAAAAGAAAGUGGGUCAUGUUUCUCUUAUUGCUCUAUUCUGUCAUAAAUUUAUAAUGCUUGUCGGUCAAACACUAGAGUAGAUUUUUGACUUUCUGUCGGUAAUAAUCAAUGUCAAAUGGAAAAAAUAGAGAACCUUUUCGUGGAGAAAAUUGAAGUCCUUAUUCUGGUCAUAUAAAAUACAAGAUGUCCACCCCUAGUGUCUCUAGUCUAUUUUAUGCUUCAAAAAAUAUAAAGCAUUUGUUGGUUGUUAUAUUUGUAGAGAAGAGGCAAUAUGGAGGAUUUGUUUUUCUCAAGAAAGGAAUAAAUGCAAUCAUGGGCUUGGCUAUUAAUCUAAUUUUGAUGGCUGUAGGGUUGUUUAGAUGCAUCAUAAGACAUUUUUAUAGAAUUGAAAUACACCUGAACAAGUUGUGAUCAUCUGGAAUGUCGUGUCUUCACAUAAAGUAUAAAUAUAAGAUAGGAAAAGAGGGAAGGUCUGAAGAGCAUGAGAUAGUUAGUUAUUGUAAAAAAGAAAGGGGGUUCUAUUCUCUAAUAUCUCUUAUUCCAUUGUAAUGCUUGGUGGCAAUAAACUAGAGUAGAACUUGAUUUUCUGUUAGAGCUAAUCAAUGUCAAAUGGACACCCUUUUCCAUGCAGAAAAGUAAAGUCCUUACGAUAGUCAUGUAAAAUGUGAGAGGUCCACCCCUAUUGUCUCUAGUGUACUUUAUAUAUGCUUCAGAAAAUAUAAAGCAUGUGCUUUUUGUUAUAUUUGUAGAGAAGAAAUAUGGAGGAUUUUGUUUUUCUCAAAAGAGGAUUGAUUAGAAAGGUGGGCUUCAUUCUAACAUGUUAAUCUAAUUACACAUAGGAGCUGGAGUCAGUUUUCUAGUGAUGGACUAGGAUUGAAGCUACUCGACGAGGCACAAACAUGCUACUAUCUUGCUAGGCUGUGGUCUUCAGUUCAUGUCGUGGCUGGGUUGUUGCCAGUUACUUCAACUAGUCAGUUUUCUUGUUCUGCUUGCUCCAGUUACAUUAUGUCCUCCCAACCGUUGUCUGAUCAUGAAUACGUUGUCACAUUGUGCCUUUUGUUUCUGAAAGAUAAAACCUUGUAAUUUUAUUAUAUUACGAAGCCAAGCCGCGCACAUGGGUAUUUUUUGGGCUACCCCAGCUUUCAGGAUCCAGACACUUCAAAAUUGUUUUCUCAAGCUUCUUUUGAUGGUAUUUAGAAACUUGCAUAUGCUCAUUUAUUUCAGUCUAGUAAGCAACUUGAGCAAAAUGAGUCCACAAAUUAUCACCAGGCACGAAUGUCUCAGGUUGACAAAAUCGUCUGCCAGAGUGUGUUUUAUUCAAAGUCCUCAUUAUAGCCAUAUAAUAUUCGAGAUGUCCACCCCUACUAUCUCUUGUCUAUUUUAUGCUUGAAAAAAUAUAAAGCAUGUGAUUGUUGUUGUAUUUGUAGAGAAGAGGUAAUUUCUAGGAUUUUGUUUUUCUCAAGAGAGGAGUAAUGAAAUUGUGUCUUGACUCUAACCUGUUAGUUUGAUUUUGAUGGCUGUAGGGUUGUUUAGUUGCAUCAUAAGACAUCUUUGUUGAAUUAUCUGGAUCGCCUUACCUUGACAUGUCCUGUUAAUAAGUGUUUUAAAGAAAUAUUAUAAUUUAGAAAGAGAGGGGGAGGUUAGCAGAGUAUCAGAGAUAGUUAGUUACUGUAAAAAAGAAAGGGGGUCCUAUUCUCCAUCUCUCUUAUUCUGUUGUUAUGCAUGUAUCUUCCUGAUAUACUAAUAUAAAGUAUAAUUCAUGUGAUUCUCUCUGUUAAUGGUGAUGAAUCAGUCUUGCAAUUGAGGUGCAAGGGCCAUUUUGUGUGCUUUUGCCUCGUAGUUUCCUAUUCAAUGUACCUCUCGUAGCUGCUGAUUUUGAUGUGUUUGGGUUCACUAUCUUAGAGCCUGUUCGGACUCUCUCCGCUCUCCAACUCCACGCCGGAGCGGAGCAACAUCUAGUUCUAAUUUGGGGAGUGGCUGAAAAGGUGCUCCACGCGCUCUGCUCCAAACAGGGCCUUAGUUGAUGAUGUGAUUGGAUUCCAUAUGAUUUUAAAAUGAUCUGGAGAUUGCUUAUCUGGCUCAACACCAACACUUGAUCAGAGAUGGACAUCUUCAAUGAUCCAAUGCUUUUGCUUAUCUGACUUUUGUUGGUGCUUUUAUUCUGAAAUCUAAACUACUGCUUUUAUCCGUCGUUAAAUUCAUAUUAUACUUGAUGUAGACUGUUUGUUAUAUGAAGUGCUAGCCUACAUGUACUUGGUCAAGAGCAACAUGUGGGUUUUUCUAGGACUUGGUCACAAGGCACAUUAUGUUAAUUGUAGCCUGCUUGAUGUAUAGACUCAUGCAAGGACAAUAAUUAGCACCUAAAAAUCAUUGGUAGUGGUACUUCCAUGUUAGAGUUGCUUAUGGUAGCUACACCUUUCGCAAAGCCAUUCAUCUGUUGAUUGUUCCAGAGGCGCCAGCUUGUUGGCAAUUCAUGUAUUGUUUGCUUUGACGCGUGUUUUAACCACUUUACAUUGGUCUCUUAAUAAUGGUAUUGUUUUGGCUUCUUGCGGAAACAAGUAAAUCUGCACCUGCAUGGUUCUUUUUAAAAUAUUUCCUAGGAUUCCCUUUUCGAGAUGACAUGCUUAGUGUUGUGGAGGUCCAUGUUAUCAUGUCGAACCAAAACAUGCACGCUUUGAACUUUUUGUAACAGCAACUUGUCUUGAUUUAUGAAUUGACAGAGUGUAAUUUCUGCAUGCAGGGAGUGGCUCUCUGACGUUGCUCCUCGAGGAUGAUGCACUUGAAACCCUCUUUGGUGAGUUCCUGGUCUCCUCCCUCUCUCUCGCUUGUGUCCUGAGAUUGUCCUGCUCGAUAGCCAUGGUUGGCACUAGUGCGAAUCAUCGACCGAAUGAUUGAGGCCUUGGUUAUGUAUGUGGCCAUGCUUCCUUACUAUGCUGGUGGUCCUCCGGCCACCACAAGUGUUUUUUGUUGAUGAUUGGUGUGACGUUUUUUUAGCUGGGGCUAGUUUCAUGUUGUGCACUUGGCCAUCAUCUUCAUAGUUCUUACUGUAGUGUAGCUAUUUUUGGUGUUUUAUCAUGCCAUUGUCCUAAUCUGCUUGUGGAUGAGAUGCUGGCCAUUGAGUUGAUUUGUCAUAUCAUGGUUCGAAUUGCAAAUAGAACUUGCUACUGUGGAAGUUUACGCGGUUUAGAGAUUGGCCUGGUUUAGUUAAUUGCUAUGGAGUAAUUUUGAUAAGAACUAGAGUAAUUUACUUGUUGUGGGUAUAUAGCUUGUUUACUUUCAGAUGAUGUUACUUUCUGGGUCUAUUUUCCUGAAUUGGCAUGGUAUAAUAACUACAUGUUGAUGGUUAUGCUACUCCUUGGCCAUGCUCUUGUUUGAUAGGCCUGGAAAAAGAGAUAGAUAUUCUCUACUAGAUGUUUUACCAAGUGUUAGUGGUUUGUGCUGCUGAUAAGAAGUGUGGCAUACUUGAGCUAAUCCUGUGUGCAGCUAAUCCCAACAUGGUUUGACUAAGCAGCUUGUUUACUAGAUUUUUUAUUUGCUAAAAAAUUGAGACUCUUGUUGUGCAUUAGAUGCCCGAGUUUGGUGCCAUGGAGAUCGACGAUGAAGAUGUCAUUGCCCACAAAAGUGUCAAGGCAUUGAAGAGAGAAGACAUGUCCCCUGAGAGCCGAGAUGUGGAAAGCAUUAGGUAAAGUGGCAAGAGGAGCCGGAUGUGCAGCUUGUGCUUUUCUUUGUUGGCUGGUGGUUGCUGCUGAAGUGCAGAUUGAUGAUGCCUGGUGAUAUUGAAGUCCUAGUAGAUAGAUAUGCCCUAUGAUAAUUGUUUUCUUGUUGGUGGCUUACUUGUCGGCUGGUAGGUAUUGAGUCGAUGAAGUACCUUGUCGAAUUCUCAGCUCUUGUUGAUGUUCUCUUUUCUCGAUGGAGAGAGAGAGUGAUAUAUGAAGUGUAAAUUUCUGCAUAUUUUUUUCCACGAGUCUCUCCGAAAUGAAACCGGGAAUUGUGUGCCAUGCCAAUCUAUCUAUCUCUCUGUCUGUGAGUUGCCGAGAAGUUUCAAGCUGAGUGAUUUACAUAAUGGUAGUUUGUGCAAGCAUGCAUUUUAUGAUUGUUGUCUGCCUUGGCUUAU